GGAGAGAUGGCAGAGCCUGGUUGAAUGCGCCGCACUCGAAAUGCGGUAUAUCUUAUUGAUAUCGGGGGUUCGAAUCCCUCUCUCUCCGCUA
RNAcentral lists this transfer RNA (91 nucleotides) under bacterium TMED250. RNAcentral's name for it is "tRNA-Ser". It matches the Rfam family "tRNA". From Rfam's summary of the family: Transfer RNA (tRNA) molecules are approximately 80 nucleotides in length. Their secondary structure includes four short double-helical elements and three loops (D, anti-codon, and T loops). The record is from RNAcentral.